GGGAGCUCAAGGAGCAGCUGGCUGAGCUGCAGAGCGGAUUUGUAAAGCUGGUGCGCUGCCCCACCUGGAGAGCCCGCCCUCCUCCCUAGCCCUCCAGACCUUUGUUUUCCCACCUGUAAAGUGGGGCAGUGUAGCCCUCACUUGAAAUGGUACUUCUGGAGGCAUCUGUGAGCCAGAGCCCUGCUCCGAUGGCUGUGGGGGAGAGGGGAUGAUUUUUCUAACCUGCCUCCACCCUUCCCGGUGCCAUGGGAGGCAGACACCAAGGCAGCAAGUUCUGGGGUCUCCAGCUGCAGUGGGUGGCCGCUGAUUGCUUCUCUCUGUCCAGACUAAUGAGAACAUGGAGAUCACCAGCGCACUGCAGUCGGAGCAGCACGUCAAGAGGGAGCUGGGAAAGAAGCUGGGCGAGCUGCAGGAGAAGCUGAGCGAGCUGAAGGAAACGGUGGAGCUGAAGAGCCAAGAGGCUCAAAGUCUGCAGCAGCAGCGAGACCAGUACCUGGGACACCUGCAGCAGUAUGUGGCCGCCUAUCAGCAGCUGACCUCUGAGAAGGAGGUGCUGCAUAAUCAGCUACUGCUGCAGACCCAGCUCGUGGACCAGCUGCAGCAGCAGGAAGCUCAGGGCAAAGCGGUGGCCGAGAUGGCCCGCCAAGAGUUGCAGGAAACCCAGGAGCGCCUGGAAGCUGCCACCCAGCAGAAUCAGCAGCUACGGGCCCAGUUGAGCCUCAUGGCUCACCCUGGGGAAGGAGAUGGACUGGACCGGGAGGAGGAG
RNAcentral lists this long non-coding RNA (766 nucleotides) under Homo sapiens (human). Its description in RNAcentral is "non-protein coding lnc-TRUB2-6:3". The record is from RNAcentral. Lineage: Eukaryota; Metazoa; Chordata; Mammalia; Primates; Hominidae.